Long non-coding RNA from Solanum dulcamara, 333 nucleotides. RefSeq lists it as uncharacterized. NCBI's taxonomy places the organism in Eukaryota, Viridiplantae, Streptophyta, Magnoliopsida, Solanales, Solanaceae. The transcript is spliced from 3 exons. The record is from RefSeq and is a predicted model, not a curated record.
CUAUACAAGUAUCCUCAAAAGUAACAGCAGAGCUAAGCCAUGACCUAACAUCAUAAACAUACUCCUUGAUCAAUUUAUUAAGGCUGAUGUUGUUCUAAAGGGCCGUCGUGCCUCAAUCUUUGGAGUUCUAUCAGGCAUUGCCUCCUCUGCUUUUGUCUGUGGAAAUCUCACUACUCGUUUUCUCUCCCCGGCUUCCACUUUCCAAGUUGCUGCAACAGUGGCAAUAAUAGCUCUUGUAUAACAGAUCAAAUUUCCGUUAUAGGAACAGAGGCAGUUUGUCUUUUGGAAAAAGCUCCAAAGAAUAAAUUCCAAUUAUUCAAGGAAUUGCCUUCU